CAGGUGCUGCAUGGCUGUCGUCAGCUCGUGUCGUGAGAUGUCGGUUAAGUCCGCUAACGAGCGCAACCCUCGCUGUGUGUUACAAGUGUCACACAGGACCGCCGGUCUUAAGCCGGAGGAAGGUGGGGAUGACGUCAAGUCAGCAUGGCCUUUAUGUCCAGGGCUACACACACGCUACAAUGGUCAGCACAAUAGGUAGCCAAGCCGCGAGGUGGAGCCAAUCCUCAAAGCUGGCCUCAGUUCAGAUCGCAGGCUGCAACCCGCCUGCGUGAAGCCGGAGUUGCUAGUAACCGCAGGUCAGCUAUACUGCGGUGAAUACGUUCCCGGGGCUU
RNAcentral lists this ribosomal RNA (332 nucleotides) under uncultured Fastidiosipila sp. Its description in RNAcentral is "bacterial SSU rRNA". It matches the Rfam family "Bacterial small subunit ribosomal RNA", at positions 1035 to 1382 of the family's 1533-position model. Lineage: Bacteria; Bacillati; Bacillota; Clostridia; Eubacteriales; Oscillospiraceae. The record is from RNAcentral.